UGUGAUUUCUUCAUUGAUGGUUUAGUU
Molecule: non-coding RNA, 27 nt
Filed under: Mus musculus (house mouse)
Lineage: Eukaryota; Metazoa; Chordata; Mammalia; Rodentia; Muridae
Source: RNAcentral